CCAGUAUGGCGAAGCAGUUUGGAAGGUUUCUCUCUGUCACUUUCUCUUUCUUUCUCUUUCAUGCUCUCUCGCUCUCACUCCCAAACCCUAGCUCUUUAACCCGGUUUUUUUCCUUCCAGUUCGUAUUUCUCUUUAAUCUUCGCCAAUUUCUUCCUUUAUUAUUCUGAAAUCACCAAUCGCUACGAUCCCCACCCACAAUCCUAACCGUAGCUACUCGAAUUCGUCGUCUGAGUGGAACCUCAACAACCUGGUUGACACAUUCUGGUCUGAGAUCUCAACCGGCUUCCCCCUCAUGUGUUUUUGUCUCUUUCAUUUGAUGAAGAUCUUGGGAUGUUUGAGAAGAAAGACGAUGAUCAGAAAUUUAAAAGCAAGAAAAAUAAAAAGAGAAUAAACAUGGAGGCAUCAAAUCAGUUCCUAGAUAAUGACAGAAAGAGAACUAAUCAUGAAUUGAUCUCUAAGAUAAAAGUGGAGGUUGAAGCUGACUACAAGGCUGCAACUUUUGCCCUAGAUGUUAUGGAGAGGAGACAAAUGCAAUCUGAAACACUCUUUACCGUGUUUGACACGUAUUUUUGCAAUUUGAAGCACACAAUGCAUUCU
Molecule: non-coding RNA, 597 nt
Organism: Arachis ipaensis
Lineage: Eukaryota; Viridiplantae; Streptophyta; Magnoliopsida; Fabales; Fabaceae
Source: RefSeq, a predicted model, not a curated record